Transfer RNA from Cavia porcellus (domestic guinea pig), 64 nucleotides. It matches the Rfam family "tRNA". Rfam says of the family: Transfer RNA (tRNA) molecules are approximately 80 nucleotides in length. Their secondary structure includes four short double-helical elements and three loops (D, anti-codon, and T loops). NCBI's taxonomy places the organism in Eukaryota, Metazoa, Chordata, Mammalia, Rodentia, Caviidae. The record is from Rfam.
GGGGAUUUAGCUCAGCGGCAUAAGCACCUGCCUUGCAAGCAGGCAGUCGAGAAUUCAAUCCCCA